AAUAACGUUGACGGUCACAACUGUUGCAAAACCUUUGUGCUGGGGCAACACCUUCUCUGUGAUUUGAAGCCUACAUUUGUUCUACACAAGGGCAAAUGCAAGAUCUUAAAAAUAGGACAUCUGGAUUCUGGAAUAAUU
This is a long non-coding RNA of Hyposmocoma kahamanoa, 138 nucleotides long. RefSeq lists it as uncharacterized. NCBI's taxonomy places the organism in Eukaryota, Metazoa, Arthropoda, Insecta, Lepidoptera, Cosmopterigidae. The record is from RefSeq and is a predicted model, not a curated record. The transcript has 3 exons.